This is a ribosomal RNA of Cricetulus griseus (Chinese hamster), 137 nucleotides long. NCBI's taxonomy places the organism in Eukaryota, Metazoa, Chordata, Mammalia, Rodentia, Cricetidae. The record is from Ensembl.
UGGGUCGGCCAUACCACUCUGAAUGAGUCCAAUCUCGUCUGAUCUUGGAAGCUAAGCAGGGUCUGGCCUAGUUGGUACUUGGAUGGGAAACAAAACAAAACAAAACAGAGCAACAUGAAUGUAGGAAAGGGACUGCU